This 75-nucleotide microRNA precursor is filed under the name Myotis brandtii (Brandt's bat). RNAcentral describes it as "mir-9193 microRNA precursor family". It matches the Rfam family "mir-9193 microRNA precursor family". The record is from Rfam by way of RNAcentral. Lineage: Eukaryota; Metazoa; Chordata; Mammalia; Chiroptera; Vespertilionidae.
ACUGUGGGGGUGGGUGUCCCUCAGCCCGGAUUGUGAGAGGGCACAGGCCAGGCCGAGGGACCCCACCGGUGCACG